RNAcentral lists this long non-coding RNA (262 nucleotides) under Pan troglodytes (chimpanzee). Its description in RNAcentral is "long non-coding RNA NONPTRT001944". Lineage: Eukaryota; Metazoa; Chordata; Mammalia; Primates; Hominidae. The record is from RNAcentral.
AAGAGCCACCAGGUCCCAGCUGAGGAAGCCCUGUGGUCAGCUCAGACAGCAAUUCAAGACCCAGACAAUUGGAAGGAUGUACAAAUUAAGCUACAAAACACAGAGAACUAGUGGUGGUCUGCAAAGAAUAGAGACGACCAGACUGGCUGACGGUCAAAUCAUAAAUUUGCAUGUGUUCCAAAAAAGUGUUCUACCGGCAAUCCUCCAAAUUGUAUCAGGCUCCAGUUCUCCCUGGAUUCCAGGAACACCAUCUCCUUCCUCG